CAAGAUGCACAGCUUAAUUUAGCCAAGUGUGAAGAAAGGGCACUGAAUACUAAUCCUUCAGAUGGUAGAGUAAUGCUCAUUGAUGGCACAUCAAUCAUCUACCGGGCUUACCACAAGCUUUUAGCAAAAUUGCACCAUGGCCAUCUAUUACAUGCUGAUAGAAAUGGAGAUUGGGUUUUAACUAUAUUUUCAGCUUUAUCUCUUAUAAUUGAUGUCUUGGAAUUUAUUCCUUCCCAUGUGGCGGCA
Long non-coding RNA from Quercus lobata, 246 nucleotides. RefSeq lists it as uncharacterized. The record is from RefSeq and is a predicted model, not a curated record. The transcript is spliced from 3 exons. Lineage: Eukaryota; Viridiplantae; Streptophyta; Magnoliopsida; Fagales; Fagaceae.